Molecule: ribosomal RNA, 488 nt
Filed under: Colletotrichum sp. C1206.3
Lineage: Eukaryota; Fungi; Ascomycota; Sordariomycetes; Glomerellales; Glomerellaceae
Also listed under: 1 other name
Description: eukaryotic LSU rRNA
Rfam family: 5.8S ribosomal RNA (bases 166-319)
Source: RNAcentral
UACGCUCUACAACCCUUUGUGAACAUACCUAUAACUGUUGCUUCGGCGGGCAGGGUCUCCGUGACCCUCCCGGCCUCCCGCCCCCGGGCGGGUCGGCGCCCGCCGGAGGAUAACCAAACUCUGAUUUAACGACGUUUCUUCUGAGUGGUACAAGCAAAUAAUCAAAACUUUUAACAACGGAUCUCUUGGUUCUGGCAUCGAUGAAGAACGCAGCGAAAUGCGAUAAGUAAUGUGAAUUGCAGAAUUCAGUGAAUCAUCGAAUCUUUGAACGCACAUUGCGCCCGCCAGCAUUCUGGCGGGCAUGCCUGUUCGAGCGUCAUUUCAACCCUCAAGCUCUGCUUGGUGUUGGGGCCCUACAGCUGAUGUAGGCCCUCAAAGGUAGUGGCGGACCCUCCCGGAGCCUCCUUUGCGUAGUAACUUUACGUCUCGCACUGGGAUCCGGAGGGACUCUUGCCGUAAAACCCCCAAUUUUCCAAAGGUUGACCUCG